CCUCCUUUCAUUGAUGCUGGAUCUAUUGUUUUGCAUAAAAUCGAAUUUUCAGUGUUUUCCUCAUGCCAUGGUUUUAUUUUAAGGUUUAGAAAGCCAAUUGGUAUAUAUUCACCGACAACAUUGCACAUGUUGCAUGUAUUCUUUUAUGAUUUUUUUUUUAGUGUGGAAAAAAUGCCUUUUAAAAGUGCAAAAAAAGUAUUGUCCAGUUGACCAGUCCAGACUUUGUUUACUAACAGUAUAUUUAAAUUACUUUUUAUAACAAC
RNAcentral lists this long non-coding RNA (263 nucleotides) under Mytilus galloprovincialis (Mediterranean mussel). The record is from RNAcentral. Lineage: Eukaryota; Metazoa; Mollusca; Bivalvia; Mytilida; Mytilidae.